GCGCUUGUAGCUCAGGGGAUAGAGCGAAAGGUUGCGGACCUUUAGGUCGGGGGUUCGAAUCCCUCCAAGCGCGCCA
This 76-nucleotide transfer RNA is filed under the name Pseudomonadota bacterium. RNAcentral's name for it is "tRNA-Arg". It matches the Rfam family "tRNA". Rfam says of the family: Transfer RNA (tRNA) molecules are approximately 80 nucleotides in length. Their secondary structure includes four short double-helical elements and three loops (D, anti-codon, and T loops). RNAcentral also lists the same sequence under 1 other name. The record is from RNAcentral. Lineage: Bacteria; Pseudomonadati; Pseudomonadota.